Arachis duranensis is the source of this 1783-nucleotide RNA transcript. It is a transcript of the gene named ATPase family AAA domain-containing protein At1g05910-like, with no coding region annotated. The record is from RefSeq and is a predicted model, not a curated record. Lineage: Eukaryota; Viridiplantae; Streptophyta; Magnoliopsida; Fabales; Fabaceae. The transcript has 4 exons.
UUCUCGUUCACGCUUCUGAAAGUUUCCGUCUUCUUCAUCUUCUUCUCUCCUCUUCCUAUCUGCUGGGAUGCCCUAGCCAAUUACCCAACCCAGCAACCUUAGCUCCACACAACGGCUAAACGCGAACCCAUCCCUCCCAUCACCCUCGAGCUCCUCCUUCUUCUCUCCGUCAUCGAUCUCACUCCCUCACCUCCGUCCAUCUCCCGCCGCCGUCGCCGAAACGAGCUUCGAAGCCACCGUGCAGUUCUGUUCCACCAUCGUGCAGCUACUGUUUCAGCUUUGAAAGCACUGUCGUGCAGCUCGGUUCCAUCGUCGCCGGGCUCGCCUUCUUUUUCCAUCACGCAGUUCUGUUCCAUCGUCGCUGGCGCUAUCUAUGUUCCUUUUUUCUUCACGUGGAACACACUCAUAAGAGCCUAUGCUAGAAUCGCAUACCAAAAACACAAGUUCAUGGAACUUUACAAAGCAAUAUUAAUGAUAGAACGAGAACAACAAAGUGCAGCGGUUAUUCCUGAUAAUUACACAUACCCUUUUGUAUUAAAGGCAUGUGCUUACUUGUUCUCUAUUUCUGAAGGAAAAUAGACUCGGCACACAAGGUGUUCGAGAAAUGUCCGAAAGAAGUGAGAUUUCAUAGAACAUCAUGAUUGACUCUUAUGCAAGUGCUGGUGAGUAUGACACUGCAUUGAGAAUGUUCUGUGAGAUGCAGAGGAUUCAUGAUCCUGACGGUUACACCAUGCAAAGUGUGAUUAGUUCCUGUGCUGGAUUGGGUGCUUUGUCUUUGGAUUUGUGGGCUCAUGCUUAUGUCUUGAAAAGGAGUGACAAGAAUAUGAUUGGAUAUUAUAUGACAAGCGAUAUAAUCUCUUCCAUUAUCCAGUCUCAGACGAAGAUGCUCCUAACUAUCACUCAAUUAUCCAGAACUCGAUGGACAUGGUAACCAUGUUACAGCGUGUUGAUAAUGGCUGGUAUAUUACACGUUCUACAUUCCUACAGGACAUUGAUCUUAUUGUUUCCAAUGCAAAGGUUUACAAUGGAGAGGAUUACAACGGUGCUCGGAUUGUGAGUAGAGCUUGUCAGCUCCGUGAUGUGAUAUAAAUGAACUUCCUUUUAUGAUUAGUUUUGAGCUGGAGCUUUUGUGCUGAUGACCAGUGUCUAUAAAUGUUCAGUUGUGGACUCACCUUGCUUCUUUUUUUCUCCUCUUUACAUUUGUCAGGUGCAUGGGAUGAUCUCACAGAUGGAUCCAGCAUUAGUUGCAUACUGUGACAAGAUUGUUGCCCAAGGUGGCCCGGUUCAUUUGUCUAAUGAAUUAAGGGGGUCUACAUUCCCUGCUACUCCCGUUGUACAAUUGGGAACUGCCACUAGAUUGAGUGCUUGACUUCGAAAUGAAAGUCAUGUCAAAUUAAAAUUCCAAAUGAUGAGACAAAUAAAUCUCUUAGGGUGAAGAGACAAAUGAUCCCUAAAAUUAUUCCACCAUAACUCUGGAAAGUUAAGACAACUUUCAGCAUAUACAUAAGUACUAUACAGUAUCUUUGGUUCAUCCUGAAAGUGUAGCAAGCCACCCGAUUCAUAACCAUUCUCCCUUAACAGGGUAUCAAUGAGGAGCGAAAUAAAGAAUAAUAUCAAUCUUGAAUAGUCGGAGUUAUCCAAUCAUUCAAAAUACUGCAUUUUAUUGCUCCUCCUUCUCCUUAGCCAUCGAAUAACGUACAUUGCUUUGUCAUACUGAUGUGAAUUCAAACAGUAUCCAUGGGACUGCAUCCUGUCAACAAGAUCAAUAACAUAGUCCUUUUUA